Molecule: ribosomal RNA, 1516 nt
Filed under: Lactiplantibacillus plantarum
Lineage: Bacteria; Bacillati; Bacillota; Bacilli; Lactobacillales; Lactobacillaceae
Description: Lactobacillus plantarum partial 16S ribosomal RNA
Rfam family: Bacterial small subunit ribosomal RNA
Source: RNAcentral
UGCCUAAUACAUGCAAGUCGAACGAACUCUGGUAUUGAUUGGUGCUUGCAUCAUGAUUUACAUUUGAGUGAGUGGCGAACUGGUGAGUAACACGUGGGAAACCUGCCCAGAAGCGGGGGAUAACACCUGGAAACAGAUGCUAAUACCGCAUAACAACUUGGACCGCAUGGUCCGAGUUUGAAAGAUGGCUUCGGCUAUCACUUUUGGAUGGUCCCGCGGCGUAUUAGCUAGAUGGUGGGGUAACGGCUCACCAUGGCAAUGAUACGUAGCCGACCUGAGAGGGUAAUCGGCCACAUUGGGACUGAGACACGGCCCAAACUCCUACGGGAGGCAGCAGUAGGGAAUCUUCCACAAUGGACGAAAGUCUGAUGGAGCAACGCCGCGUGAGUGAAGAAGGGUUUCGGCUCGUAAAACUCUGUUGUUAAAGAAGAACAUAUCUGAGAGUAACUGUUCAGGUAUUGACGGUAUUUAACCAGAAAGCCACGGCUAACUACGUGCCAGCAGCCGCGGUAAUACGUAGGUGGCAAGCGUUGUCCGGAUUUAUUGGGCGUAAAGCGAGCGCAGGCGGUUUUUUAAGUCUGAUGUGAAAGCCUUCGGCUCAACCGAAGAAGUGCAUCGGAAACUGGGAAACUUGAGUGCAGAAGAGGACAGUGGAACUCCAUGUGUAGCGGUGAAAUGCGUAGAUAUAUGGAAGAACACCAGUGGCGAAGGCGGCUGUCUGGUCUGUAACUGACGCUGAGGCUCGAAAGUAUGGGUAGCAAACAGGAUUAGAUACCCUGGUAGUCCAUACCGUAAACGAUGAAUGCUAAGUGUUGGAGGGUUUCCGCCCUUCAGUGCUGCAGCUAACGCAUUAAGCAUUCCGCCUGGGGAGUACGGCCGCAAGGCUGAAACUCAAAGGAAUUGACGGGGCCCGCACAAGCGGUGGAGCAUGUGGUUUAAUUCGAAGCUACGCGAAGAACCUUACCAGGUCUUGACAUACUAUGCAAAUCUAAGAGAUUAGACGUUCCCUUCGGGGACAUGGAUACAGGUGGUGCAUGGUUGUCGUCAGCUCGUGUCGUGAGAUGUUGGGUUAAGUCCCGCAACGAGCGCAACCCUUAUUAUCAGUUGCCAGCAUUAAGUUGGGCACUCUGGUGAGACUGCCGGUGACAAACCGGAGGAAGGUGGGGAUGACGUCAAAUCAUCAUGCCCCUUAUGACCUGGGCUACACACGUGCUACAAUGGAUGGUACAACGAGUUGCGAACUCGCGAGAGUAAGCUAAUCUCUUAAAGCCAUUCUCAGUUCGGAUUGUAGGCUGCAACUCGCCUACAUGAAGUCGGAAUCGCUAGUAAUCGCGGAUCAGCAUGCCGCGGUGAAUACGUUCCCGGGCCUUGUACACACCGCCCGUCACACCAUGAGAGUUUGUAACACCCAAAGUCGGUGGGGUAACCUUUUAGGAACCAGCCGCCUAAGGUGGGACAGAUGAUUAGGGUGAAGUCGUAACAAGGUAGCCGUAGGAGAACCUGCGGUUGGAUCACC